RNA transcript from Onychostoma macrolepis, 3446 nucleotides. It is a transcript of the gene named SANT and BTB domain regulator of CSR, with no coding region annotated. Lineage: Eukaryota; Metazoa; Chordata; Actinopteri; Cypriniformes; Cyprinidae. The record is from RefSeq and is a predicted model, not a curated record. The transcript has 21 exons.
UCAAUGGAAUGUUGGGGCUGUCGCCUAGCAACGGGGACGCCGGCGCGCACCUGCUGCACUGCGGCACCGGAAAUAGAGGGCAGAACAGCGGCUGAGCAGGGGAUGUGGAGAUAAUCCUCUGCCUCGCGUCGCCUUCAAUCGUUUUGGUUAGUUUCCUCUUUCAGGCUCGGGUCGACAAGCUUUGGCAUUCCGUCACAUCGCAGCAGACAGCGGAGAGAGGAGGGACACUGCAGUGCGAGCAUCAUCAUGAUGGCACACGCGCUCCGAGCGUGAGAUCUCUGGCAUUUUAACAAGAGGAGAGAGACGGACUCGGGUAGUCAUGCCCACCAAAUCUGCGAAUUUCAUGUUUAGUAUUUGUUUUUAUUAUUAUUUGUAUAUGCUGUGUGGAUGUGAACUGUACUUGUUUCCCCGGAUAAAAUCAAAGUAAGGCACAGCAUCUCUGUUGAUGUUACUCAAACCCAGCCCGUUAUCAGCACCGCUCAGCUGGAAUGAAAGAAGAGCAUUGUUACCAGAGGAAACAGCGCAUACAUCUGGAACAGGAAAUGAAUCGUCUGUGCUCUGUUAAUAAUAACUUUCCAUAUGAUAACAACCUCCUGGUGCUGGACAUGGUCCUGAGCUCACUAUGGGCUUCAUCUCAGCCAAUCAACUGGGAGAAUGUUGCCAAGUUGGUCCCAGGGUUCACACCUAAAGAGUGUGCACAAAGGUUUGAAGAGUUAAAGACUACAGGAAGUUUCCCUCAUGUCGAUGACCAGUGUAACCCACUGACCGGAGCAGGGAGCUCUCCAUCAGAACCCUUUUCCACCUACAUCAAAUCCAAUUUAUUGGACAUUACCGUAGAUACAGGGGAACCACCGUCCAAUCAGGCCACUCUCUCAGUGUCAGGCCUCGCUGUGAUCUCUACUGGUCGAGCAGCCUCUGCAGAGAGUGAGAUUGCAGAUCCUGCCAAGAAGAUUGAGAAAACAGAAGGGAAUAAAAGCCCCAACAUGGUAAUCCACGUUUGUGAUGAGGCAAAGAACCUGAAACAGGACUUUGUGUGUCCAAGGAACCUUCUGGUAAAAGAGAUGCGUUACUUUGAAGAGUAUCUUUCUGUGGACCCACAGCGCUGGGACGAGGUGGACAUUUCUGUCCACUGUGACGUCCAGAUCUUCGACUGGCUCAUGAACUACGUCAAGAGUCACAACACUGAACAUUCGCAUGGAAAACACAUGGACAAACCCAAACUGGAGCACAGCAAUGUCAUCUCAAUCCUGAUCUCCUCCGAGUUCUUGAAGAUGGAAACUUUAGUUGAGGAGUGUAUCCAGUAUUGUCACAAACAAAUGAGUGCCAUCAUAGCAACGCCGUGCAAUAUGAAUUGCAUCAACAACAACCUGGCUGGACGCAUCGCUGAUCUGUUCAGCCACAAUGAGGCAGAUGACCUCAAGGACAAAAAAGACAAAUUCAAAAGUAAAUUGUUUCAGAAGAAGAUCGAGAGAUUAUUUGAUCAUGGUUAUCAGAAUCACGAUUCCCCUGGUAACGCAUCUACUCUGUACAGAUGUGGACUUUGCCUUAAGCUUUUAACCAAAGAAACCGAGAGAAAAAUCCCCUGUGUUCCAAACAAAAUCAACAUAGAUGUCCGAGGAAACAUUGUAUUCACUCACUCCAGACAUAAGACCUGGGAGGUACAUGAGUUUGUGAAUGGGCUUUAUGAAGAGUUGAAGUCUUGGGUACUGGUCUACUGGAGGAUCUGGGGCACAAUCAACUUCCUUACCUGUUCACGCUGCAAACAGGUAUUCCUGUGUACAGAUUUGGGCCAGUGUAAGUACCACCCAGAGGCAGUUGUGUAUCCUGGCAUUGGGGCAGAUCAUAGAUGGCACGCCAUUGGUCUUUACCCCUGCUGCAACCAGAAAGUCCUGAGAUUCGAUCCCUCCUCCAUGCCCAAGGGCUGUAAAAUAAGAGACCACAUUGUGAGUGCAGCAGAUGGUGGUGACUGCGGCGAUCACAAUGUAAACUCAACCCAGACUAGAAUACUGAAUGACCUGCUGCUACACAGAGAGGCUGUGUGUGUGCCAGAGAGCUGUAGCUCUGAGGACUCUUCUGCAGGCAGUGAACGUGUGCCAGGAUGUGAUGUAAUGCUGGAGCCAGGGGUGCUUACAGCUCACAGACCCAAGGAAACCACAGCUUUUUCACUGUUAAAAAACUGGAGUCUUCAGCUGCGGCAACAGUCUCUGUUGUCUGAAGAUGAGGAGUACACUACAGGGUCAGAGGUCACAGAGGAUGAGGUUGGGGAUGAAGAAGACACAUCAAAAAAACAAGCUGCAAAGAAGGCAAGAAAAUCUGGAAAACCUUUGAAAAGACAAGUGUCCUCCCCCAGUUUCCAGCGUAAGGAGAAAUCUGGAGAAAAGGCACCAUCUCGAGACUCCACCCCAUUCAUCGUCGGCAUCCAGAAGAAUAAGUGGGAUAGCAAUCGCUCCAUGAGGUACAAUCAGGACGCACAGAGGGAGGAGGAUCAGAGGAGAAUGGAGGAGAUUAUAGCAAAUCUCACUAAAAUGCGCUUUGGUGAUCAAGAGCAGACGAAGUUUAAAGACACAAAAGAGCAGUAUUCCAACAUUGUACUCUAGUAUUUUGCACCCAUGUGUGUUUGUGUGGUUCCAGCCUGCAGGGGGGCUCUACUCGAGGCUGGAGGCCCAAUUUAAGGCCUCCUCUCAGUCCAGCGGAAGACACAGCAGCUCAGAGAAAACUCUAAGAGCGAAGGCACGCUCGGGGCCGUCGAGACCGACUUAGAGAAAAUGUGGAGAUGAGUUUUUGAAAAGGAAGAGUAAAAGAGCUUGCUGCUGUUUGACGAGGCAGAAUAACCCAUUGCUCUCUUCGUCCAUCCUUUGCUCCACUCCUCACCCCCUCCUUCUCCCAAACUCCAUCCAGACACGGCAGGAAUAGCAUUAGAGUCUUUUCCGUUACAGUCCUGGGAGAAGAAUGGAUUGCUGGUGUGGUCACUGAAGUCAUAACUGUAGCUAUAGAACACAAACAAUGGACCUAAUGAAGCCAUCAGUUGCACUGUAAACAAUACAAGCUUUUGGCUGCUAAUGAAUUGUUUGCACCUACUAAUCUGUGUUACACUAGUACUGUUUAUUUUGCACCUUUUGCGUUAUCUCAUCUCAUGUCUAGCUCAGGAUUCAUCCCAGCCGCAGUGUGUUAUAAUGUCCCUGCUUCAAUCUAGCCGACUCAGGUGACCAGACAAAGCUCAUCUCUGUGGUACUGACCCUGCACUUUAAGCCGUCUUAAUGCAAUGACUCAAACCUGUAUAAUACGCAAAGAAGCCACUGGGUAAAGAGCAACGCUGACGACUAAUACCUGUGAGGUCCAUGAUUACGUUGCACUGAAACUAUCACAACUGUGCCAUUCGGACCAAUGUGACAUGAGGUAGAAUACAGAAGCAGUAGAAUAAAAAGCAUUUAAAAUAAACCCGUGUC